UUGUUAUCUCACGUAUGGAUUUGGGGCGUAUUUCAAGCAGGUAUAACCUACUCUGAUGCUUUCGCUCUAAGAGGAAAGUGUGCCACCCCUAUCCUCAAGCAGGUAAUAAUUAAUCAUUUAUGAGCUGAUGGACAACAAUUACUCUAUUCUUCCACCAUUGCAUCACUCAAUCAAAUGUCAUCAUGUAUCAAUGAUGUGAAUAUGUGGAAAAAAUCGUCUGUGCUCUGUUUUCUUAUUUGGAUGAAAACCAGGCAGUGUAGUUAUUUUUUAUAGUUUAUACACAUACUGCACGAUUAAUUAAAGGUUGUAACCUCACUGUCAUGCUAAUGGACGCAAAAAAAGAAGAGUGGUAGUACUAUCAAUGGUUCAGUCAGCGCCUCAACAACAUCUGCACUACUUCUGAUAUUGUUUUCAAGUAGCUUUUUUCUGCACCUUUCUCUUUCAGUUCUUAGUGCUGCUUCCCCAUGAACCCAUUUUUUUAAUUUGAUUGUACAUUCAAAUGAAGCCUUUGUUAAGUAUACACUCCAACAUUCAGUUAACAGUAGCCUAACUGAAGUUUCUGUUUCUGAAUUUAUAAACUCACUUUAUAUUCAGUUUAUAAAUUAACAGUAGCUUCAAAAUUAAGUAUCAUUCCCAUGGAUCAACUGUUAUUUUAUUUUGUGGAGGAUAAAGUUCAGAUCAUGAAUAAUGGAAUUACAAGUGAACUUGGCACAAUUACACAUGUCCUGAACUAGAUAUGAGCAACUCUUCAUUGGCAUGCAAGUACUACUUUUACAUUGUCAUGACAGGAACAAUUAAUUUGACAUGUAUCAUUGGUACUACUAAAACAUUUCGUUCAUGUUUCAACAAAUUUGGUGAAGACCACUUCAUAUGUAUUUUGCAUAUAUGAAUUAUCUCCUGUUGCUUUCUAAGAUGUUAGUUCUUUCAGUUCUAUCCCUUCUAUCUUUAAUUCCUCGCUGUCGGACUACCUGCAGGACAAUGUGUUCAUCUGCGGCAGCUCUCUCUGUAGCAGUCCGUCCGCGACGCGCUCCGCAGCGUCCUCGCCGGGCACAACGAGAUCCUCAACGUCUGGAAGUAAGUCACCGGCCAUCUGUUUCCUGAUGAAUUUUCUUUCUAGCUCAAUGUGAUCGGAUCUGACUAGUACGUUCAGAUUUGCUCUUGUUUUCUUUUCAAAUAGUACUAGUAGUCUAUAUUCCAGCUGUGCGACUACCUGUAGCCACUUGAACCGAUGAGAAUUCUUCAAGCCUACCUAUAGCCACUUGAACAGAUGUCUAUCUCAGAUCUGCUCAUCAAAAAAAUCCAAGUGGCGUAGUAUAAAUACUCGUCAGAUAAAUCUCAGAUCUGCUCAGAUUUGGCCUGAUUAUUUAGCCCUGCCAGAUAAAUACUCGUCGAAAGUGGGCUCCUAUCAAAAUUCAUUUCCAUUGAAAUCUUACUGUGGGGACCCCGACUCAUAAGUCGUGAUCACCGAAUGCACGUGUACAGUGAUCCCAGAGAUCAAUGCUCACUGAACACACAGAAGCUGAAUAACAAGAGUCUUACAUCCAUACAUACCGUAUUACACAAGUAGGACCAUUAUGGUCGAGUCUUGAGUAUAACAUCGCAGCGGAAAUCUUCAUCGGUAACUUGGACCCAUGCCAUCUGCCUUGACCCCACAGGCAUUCUGACUGGAAAACGUCCUAGCUCGCAUGUUCGUCGCCGAAGUAUUCUUCAUCAUAUCCUGUUCUUUCAUGCCUGGUCAAUAAAAUAACCAGUGGCAAGCCAAUGAGUACUUUGAAUGUACUCGCAAGCAACCCAUGUUUUGGUUCAAGAUACAACAAUGCAUGAUAUAGGUAAUUUUUUGCAGAAAGCUAGUUUUGAGUGCAAUGACAUGUUCAACAACUUGUAAGACAUGCAUCAAGAGAAUUCAAGUAACCAUGAGGAAAGGUUACAGAUAUCAACAUAAAUAGAGUGGGCACCAACCCAACUCAAUCAUGUCAAGUCCUUUGACUUGACCCAAGUAGAUCUUCCCACUUAUCCAAACACACACACUGGUUUGUAAACAUGUGUACGUAGCCCAAGAGUGGUUACCCAGCUGUCCUUGACCGUGGACACGACUAUUUGAAAAAUUUUACACUCUGCAGAGGUUGCACACUUUACCCACAAGAUCCGGGGAACUUCCAUGUCAUCCACGACCCGCAAUACCUCAAGUACCCGGGGUAAGCACCCGAUCACUGUCUUUCCCUGGCCGACACUAACAUGGAGUCCACUCGUUGCUCCAUAUCCUCACGAUGUACAUCAUAUGAGACUCACUCGAGAUCAUAACAUCCGAGAGGGGACACAACGGUGUAUCCGCUGCCCUGUGAAAACAGUCAUGGCCGCCCUACCUGGCACGACCCCACCCGAGAGAGCGCACCAACAACUCUCCCGUCACUAGUAAUGCGGGCUCCAAGCUAGUAUCGGUCUAGGUAAUCAAUAAUGCCCUUUCCCAUAUAAGGGUAGAGUGGUUGCGCAUGUAAGGUUGGAAUAACGGUCGCAACUUAAACCAAUCCGUUUUGGAAACAACACACACUUGCCUCGGUACACCACUUCGUCAUCAAGUGGCUACCCAACUCAUCGUCUCCCCCGGGCACAAGUGGCACCCGACGGGGUUUACGAAAAGUCUUUCGAAAAUACUUUGCCUCCUUCACCAUGCAUAUUCCCGUCCCUUUUUGCGUAGCACUACUUUAGCAUCCUAUCUACUCCCACCGGCAUAACCCUCAUAAGAAGGUAGGGUCAUGCACAAUGCAAGUAUCAAUGAGGAAGUACAGUGGCAAACCAUCAAAGUGGUUACUACCUCAUCAUGAAUCCGUUGCAACAACAAUAUGGUGCUAUAUGACAUGCAUAAAAGGGUUUCAUAGACAUGGUCAAAGGUUUGCUUGCCUGUUUCAUCAGAGUCUUUAGAUCUUCUGGUCCUUCUCCAGGUACUCCGUCUAAUUCGGCAACUAACAUCGGAAACAAUCACAAUAAGCAACAUAACAUGGCAAGAAUGAAUGUGCUCUAAAAAUAUGAAGUUGACUUUUAUUGGAUACCUCUGGUCAUAUGAGGAAUGACCAAAGUGAUUUCAUUGGAAGUGGAUCAAUGGAUAUUUCUAAACAUUUCGAUAUGAUGGAAUCAAGGGGUUUAUGUAUUUGCAAGAGGUGUACAGAAAUAUAUUUUUGAAAAAUGAGCAAAGGCACCCAUUUACAAAGGAUGAUUUUAGAAGCAUCUAGGAAUUGGUUUCACUGGAUUUGGAGUUGAGAUGAUUUUUCUAUGAAUUUGCAAAGUUGGCUAUAUAUAAAGAAAUAGACCAUUAUUUGAGGUGAUACAGAAAGUAUUAGUAAAAAUGUUCAAAGACUAAGUUUUGAACUUAUAGACAUCUAGGAUUUUGAAUCAUGGAAUUUGGAUCAAAAAUGGGCUCUCUGUGAUUUUCUAAAGUUUAUCACAAAAUAGGAAAAAUAGGAUGUGAUAAAUAUUUGUGAAGGAAAUGCUUUUGUAAAAAUGUGACAAUAGCACCAUGUGGUAGGGAAUGAUUUUAGAAACUACUAUAAACUUGAAUCAUCAAAUUUGGAGUUAAUUUGAAUUAUUUAUGGAUUUUAGAAACUCACUGGAAAAGAAUAAAAAGAAAUAUAAGGCAUUACCCUUAUCCUGCGCCCGGCGAGAGAUAGCCAUGGGCCGGCCCAGCGGCUCGACCAUGCGGACGACAGGCGAUGUCGAAUGCGUAUUUCGCCCGGCCCGUCUCCACUUGCCAGCGUGGCCCGGUGGCUGGGCCACUAACGAGCGGGGCCCGCCUGCAGGUCAUCGUCUUCGUCUUCCUCCCGCGCGCUCACCUGGCCGAGGGAGCAGAGAGCCCCAACGACGACUGCCGGCGCUACGGAGCACCUCCGGUGACGCUCUGUCUAUGGAUGAGCUCGGCAUCGAGCGCCGCAUCCAUUCAUGUAUGCCACGGCUGCCGGGGAUGGUCAAGGCGACGGCGGCUUGGAUGUCGGUGGACGGUGGCGUCGCGCGAGAUUGGGCACGGCGCUACGGUGCGUCCUCGGAUGAGGGAAAGAGCGUGGGAGCUCCGCCUUGCUCAGGGGAGCCUGCUGGUGGAGAGAGGAGAGGGAGAAGAGCUCGGGCUCGGCUGAAUUUAGGUGGAGGCCGGCGGCAGCUCUCCGGCCAUGGAGGGCUAUGGAGGGCGCGGGGAGAGGAGUGAGUUGGUCCAGGGGGUCUCUGGGAGGUAGAGAGAGGCAAAGGAGUAGAGAGGAGGCUCGGGGUGGCCCUAAAUAGAAGGGGGCGAGGUGCACAGCGGGGCCGUGCGCCGGCGAGGUCGUAGCCAUCGCUGGAGGCCACGGGAGUGCUUGGCUUCGAGUCGGGGUCUUCCUGGGCGUGGUCUACGACCAGGGGAAGGGAGAGAAGGAGCGGGGGAGCGUCAGGGUAGCGCGCGUGUGAGCAUGCCCAUUGGAGCUCUCGGGCGGCUAGAAUAGAAAAUUGGUGGUUCCAUCCCCUUGAUCAAUAAGCAUUGACUUGAGAUGAAUGCCAGAGGUAGAGGGAGGUUAGGAGGAGGUGUGGUAAAAAGGAUAACUCAUGGAGAUUAGUGGAAUUGGACAAAACAUACAUUUUUAAUUUCUGCCAGAAGGUGUUUGAUGGUGGUUUGGGAAAGAAGAUGAACUCCUAUUGUCAUGAGGCUUGACAGCGUCAUAUGGUAUGAUAAAAUAAUAGGUUCCACCAAUAUUGAGUCCAUUUGGGCAAAGUUGCCAAUGCAACUUUUGUAAACCCUAGAAAUCAACAGAAAUGGACUUUCCAAGAUUUAGUCAUGCAAAUCUGUUCUCCUUGAUUCACCACUUGGUUUAGUGUCAUCAUUUGAGGUUAUGAACAUGUCCACAAAGGUUGAGAUCAAAAGGAGAAAGUUUCCAAUGUAGAGUUGUUAAAAUUUGGUUUUGGACAGGAAGGGUUUUGGGGCACUUCGAUCAAUAUAACAUUUUCUCCAACUUGUGCCAUUUGGUCUAGAUGAAUGAUUAGACCAUUUGAGCAUGUUCACAAGGUUUGAGAACAUUUGGACAUCUUUGGCAAUGUAAAGUUGCUCAAACUUCAAAAUGGACAGAAAUGGUUUUGAGGGGAUUUCAUGGGGUUAUACUAUUCUCCAUGACAUUAUACUUGUCAAGAUCAUCAAACAUGUCAUAUGUGACAUGAUAGAAUUUUCUUGGAUUUUUAUGAAAAUAUUUCCUGUAGAAAUAUUUCAAAUCCUUGAAAUGAGUAGAAGUGGUUUUGGGAGGUUUUGUCCAAUAUUUUGAUCAUGACCAUGUGCUGAAACUCAUAUAUAUGGAAUAUAUAUGUCCAUUGAGUCUCCCUAAUUUUCUCAAAUAUUUUUAAAGCUUUAAAAAUUAAUUUUAACCUAUUAAAGACCAUUUCUGGCCUUAAGAAAAAGCCUUCAAAUAAAAUAGAAAAAUAAUUUUUAAAGUUAUAUUUUUGUGGUCUCUGGGUAUCCUAUAUCUAAUAGGAGUCAAAAAUAUUUUUAUAAAGAUUUUUACUGCCCUUAAUUAAGUACUUGCAGUGCAAACCUCAAUUCAGGGGUUUUUGGAAAACUAAUUUUUGAAAAUACUAUUUGGCCAAAUUAUUUUUGUAAGAAAUUAUUUUUAUGUCCUAUACACAUGGCAUGAUCAUUGGUUCAAGAGUUUGGAGCAAGGAGAUGAAGUAUAAGCGUUGGAGGAUUUAUUUGAUUUUUAGAGCACUUGCAAACAACAGACAAAAUCCAAUCAAGGCAAAGUCCAAAACACACAAAAGUUUUUGUCAAACCACAUUUUAUCAUGAUUCAUUAGCUUAAGUGUUGUGGCAUGAAAAUCAGGAUGUGACAGACCUACCCCCCUUACAAGAAUCUCGUCCCCGAGAUUCCCAGACUGGGCACGGAAAGGAAUACGGAAACUUGGAUUCGGGGUAGUCUUCACGUCCUCAUACUGCUUCUGCUUCUGUUUGGUGCUCCAUUGAAUUUGAAGUACUUGAUGGUGUGGCUUCGUGUAUGACGUUCUUCUUGAUCCAGGUUUCUAAUGGGUAGCUCAUGGUAGGUUAGAUUGGGCUGGGGGUCGAUGGCUCGAUGGUCAAUGUCCUUGUAGAGACCGGGCUAGUUGGGAAGUUGGAAACGUUUCCGGAGUGGCGUCGUGUGGAAAAACAUUGUGCACAGUAGGUAACUCAGGUGGUAACUCCAGCUGGUAGUCGUCUAUUCUUCGUCUUGCGGUGAUCUUGGAGAGGGCCGAUAAAUCUUGGUGUGAGCUUCCCUUUGACAGGGAAAUGCUUGGUUCCUUCGAGAGAAGUGGUUUGCAGAUAUGCCUGGUCUUUGAUGCGGAGGUAUACUGCUUCAAGAUGGUGGUUGGCGUAGUUCUUCCUCCUAGGCAUGACGAUCUUCAGAUGUUCCUUGAGCAGCUCAACGAUUCUUCUUCCGUCUUCGGGUAGACAAGUAUGUCAUCAAAGAAAGAUGACAACUAACUUGUCCAAGCACUCCAUGAAGUCUAUGGGGUACGUAAAGUGGGCUGAGGCAUUGGGGAUGGUCACGGUUGAGCAUUGGCCAAGGUCUUAUCGAUCUAGAGCCAAAGCCCAAGGUCAGGAUCUGACCAUGUUGUGGCUUGGUAGGCGUAAGGGUUUCAAGGAUUUUAGUGUGCGAGCGAACGUUUGUCACCUUUAUCCUUAAGCAUGGUUCCUGAGAUGCCAAUUGUUCUAUCUAGUCCUUUAAACAAAUAACCUUAUACCACCGAAAGCAUCAACUCUUGUAGGUCAGCUCCAAUCAUCACUCAUGCUAUUAUUAUCCUCAUGACUCCCAAGGGGAGGUCUAAUAAAUCUAUACAUGUCAACUAUCCCAAACUCAUAUGUAUGGCUAUCCCUAAAAAUCCAUGGGUAGAGCAUAUAAGCUGCUAAGCUUGAAUUUAAUCACCACAAUCCAAGUGCUCAGUCUAUUGACCCAAGGUCCAUGAUAAAGCAUCUCUAUCCUAAGGAAACACGUCGUAAGCCACUCCAAGAUCUUGUUUCUUCCUAUGAAUCAACUCCAAUAGCCCAUUAACUUUCAUUAAUGACUACACAAUCCAUUGAUUCUACAAAUCCAAUGUUUAUGGUGUUCCACAUGAUCUUCUAAAGUCCUUAUAAUCCCCAAAUACUUGAAAGAGCUAUAUCUACUAUAGUCAGUCCACCAAUUCCCAUUAUCAGGGUCGAGUAACUCCAAGGUCAAGCUUAUAUCAACUCCGACAAUUAAUCCAAUCCCCUAGUUUAUUGUCCUCCAAGAAACAUGGUAUCACGAUCGAAAUCACCAGUCUAAAUCCAAUUUACUCCGAACCAUGUAGACUUACUCACCACUUAUACUCAACUAGGAUCACCUAUUUAAAUCCAAAUCUCAUGUCCAACGAGAAUUCCUACAUGCUUCCCCAAAGUCAUUAUCAUAAUGUCAACUAUCUCCUAUCAAUAUCCCCUGGCUAAGUCAAAUCCUCAUACUUCCAAGAAUUCAGCUUGCAAUCUUAAUUGUCCCACUAAAUCCAAUUUAUCCAGGGGUAAUGAAAGCUAUGCUACUCUAUAUUAAUGAUCCCACCAAGUUCAUCUACCAACAUGAAAGCCUCAUAAUCCACCAAAGUCUCAGAUAAUUUCUCAAGGUCACUGAUAUAAACUCACCAAGUCAUUUGUCCUCAAUUCCUAUAUCAUCAAACUGGUCUUCCCUAUGGCAUCGUCAGUCCUGGUGCUAUAUUAGGAUGAUAAUGUGCUUGUUCACUAUGUCCACUAGUUCCAUAAUGAACCCAGUGUUGUGCGAGGUUUACAGAGACUUAACUAGUUCUCUUGCAAUUCUGUGGGUUAAGCACAUGGUUAAGGACUGGGGUAUCUCAUGAAGUCUCGAAGGGUCUAGGAAUGGGUUUCUAGUCUGGAGGGUUAAACAUAACUCUACGGGGUUUCACUUGGUCGAGGAGGCUGCAACAAAAAGUCUUCAGUGCUAGUUGGUCGCCGAAGCAGACUCCUUGGUGCAUCUUGUCUUGCUGGUCUUCAGUUGAGGAGAGAGAUGAGAGGGAUAAGUAGCAUAAAAGGGGGAUGCCUAAAGGGGGUUCUAUAGUGCAGGUGCAAACAAACAAGUGCCAAAAGGGCCAAACACAAACAACAAAAUAAGGCAGGUGAUUUAGUUGCGUACUUGUUGCCUAGGGCAAAAAGGGCGACUGAUAUCAAAACACAAACAAAUAAAAACAAGCAACACACAAUCAUGGUUCUAUUCGAACCAUCAUACGGACUCGACUACGCAUAGGGGGUACACGACUCAUCCUACCCUAGGGGUUCUCGGACUCAGUAGUCAUGCUUUGCUCUAUGUCUCGUGCAGUCUUCCAGAUUUUUUUUCCUCAGGUGUCGCUACGUCUUUUGUAGUUGUUCGAUGAAACAAUCUGGGUUGAGCCUAAAGAAUCUUCAACAACUUCUCUCCUGAUGAGGUGAUGGGGGAAGGUGGCUCCUCGUGGCUGGCACUGACUUGAUCUUCUCUUGUCUUCUUAAUCAUGACGAUCACUUUUGCCUUUUUAAGGUGUUGGCGGUUCCAGGUGGCACUCCUUUAUGCAAUGACAUUAACAAGGCGUAAUAGAGGCCCAAUCCGUCGGACACAUUGUUGACAAUAUCGUCACCAUGGGCGGGGGAUGAAGAGAACCGUUUUCCUGCUCACUAUAGUAAGGCGGACCAAAUGGCUAGGUUCUCCUCCACCGGUGGUUGCCGAUACAACAACGGUAGUGUUAGGGUUACCCUAUUAGCGAUGUAUAUCAUGAUCUUGCAUAUCCUAUGCCCUAAUCAUCGUAGGCUAAGGUUGCAUCAUCUUGGGGCAGUGUCAAGGGUGUCAGCAUCUCCUGGGUCUUCAUGUCAUCAUUCCUCGAGGAUAUAUCUUCUGUUGGUAUCGUCUUGUUGUGAUGUCGCCAAUCUUGUGUUCAGGAGAUGUGGGUGAAUGUCUGGCAAGGCAUCUUCCUUCUAGAUUAUCUACGAGGAUUACAAGGAAUCCAGUGGUCAGGGGCAUAAGGGUUCUAGCGACCAAAGGUUUUAAAGGGGAAGAGAUCAAUAAGGAAAGUAUACCUUAGUUUUCGAAAAACUGAGAAGGGAAGAGAAGUACAGAUAGUUUUGAAGACUAGUAGUAGUUUUGGAAAUAGUUUUACCCUAACUAACGACCAUGCUAACUAAGGCUUCCUACAGUCAGGAUGGCUCUGAUACCAGCUCUGUGGGGACCCCGACUCAUAAGUCGUGAUCACCGAAUGCACGUGUACAGUGAUCCCAGAGAUCAAUGCUCACUGAACACACAGAAGCUGAAUAACAAGAGUCUUACAUCCAUACAUAACGUAUUACACAAGUAGGACCAUUAUGGUUGAGUCUUGAGUAUAACAUCGCAGCGAAAAUCUUCGUCGGUAACUUGGACCCAUGCCAUCUGCCUUGACCCCACAGGCAUUCUGACUGGGAAACGUCCUAGCUCGCAUGUUCGUCGCCGAAGUAUUCUUCAUCAUAUCUUGUUCUUUCAUGCCUAGUCAAUAAAAUAACCAGUGGCAAGCCAAUGAGUACUUUGAAUGUACUCGCAAGCAACCCAUGUUUUGGUUCAAGAUACAACAAUGCAUGAUAUAGGUAAAUUUUUGCAGAAAGCUAGUUUUGAGUGCAAUAACAUGUUCAACAACUUGUAAGACAUGCAUCAGGAGAAUUCAAGUAACCAUGAGGAAAUGUUACAGAUAUCAACAUAAAUAGAGUGGGCACCAACCCAUGUCAAUCAUGUCAAGUCCUUUGACUUGACCCAAGUAGAUCUUCCCACUUAUCCAAACACACACACUGGGUUGUAAACAUGUGGACGUAGCCCAAGAGCGGUUACCCUGCUGUCCUUGACCGUGGACACGGCUAUUCGAAUAGUUUUACACUCUGCAGAGGUUGCACACUUUACCCACAAGAUUCGGGGAACUUCCGUGUCAUCCACGACCCGCGAUACCUCAAGUACCCGGGGUAAGCACCCGAUCACUAUCUUUCCCUGGACGACACUAACAUAGAGUCCACUCGUUGCUCCAUAUCCUCACGAUGUACAUCAUACGAGACUAACUCGAGAUCGUAACAUCCGAGAGGGGACACAAUGGUGUAUCCGGUGCCCUGUGAAAACAGUCAUGGAUGCCCUACCUGGCAUGACCCCGUCCCGAGAGAGCGCACCAACAACUCUCCCGUCACUAGUAAUGCAGGCUCCAAGCUAGUAUCGGUCUAGGUAAUCAAUAAUGCCCUUUCCCAUAUAAGGGUAGAGUGGUUGCGCAUGUAAGGUUGGAAUAACGGUCGCAACUUAAACCAAUCCGUUUUGGAAACAACACACACUUGCCUCGGUACACCACUUCGUCAUCAAGUGGCUACCCAACUCAUCGUCUCCCCCAGGCAUAAGUGGCACCCGGAGGGGUUUUCGAAAAGUCUUUCAAAAAUACUUUGCCUCCUUCACCAUGCAUAUUCCUGUCCCUUUUUGCGUAGCACUACUUUAGCAUCCUAUCUACUCCCACCGGCAUAACCCUCAUAAGAAGGUAGGGUCAUGCACAAUGCAAGUAUCAAUGAGGAAGUACGGUGGCAAACCAUCAAAGUGGUUACUACCUCAUCAUGAAUCCAUUGCAACAACAAUAUGGUGCUAUAUGACAUGCAUAAAAGGGUUUCAUAGACAUGGUCAAAGGGCUGCUUGCCUGUUUCAUCAGAGUCUUGAGAUCUUCUGGUCCUUCUCCAGGUACUCCAUCUACUUCGGCAACUAACGUCGGAAACAAUCACAAUAAGCAACACAACAAGGCAAGAAUGAAUGUGCUCUAAAAAUGUGAAGUUAACUUUUAUUGGAUACCUCUGGUCAUAUGAGGAAUGACCAAAGUGAUUUCAUUGGAAGUGGAUCAAUGCAUAUUUCUAAACAUUUCAAUAUGAUGGAAUCAAGGGGUUUAUGUAUUUGCAAGAGGUGUACAGAAAUAUAUUUUUGAAAAAUGAGCAAAGGCACCCAUUUACAAAGGAUGAUUUUAGAAGCAUCUAGGAAUUGGUUUCACUGGAUUUGGAGUUGAGAUGAUUUUCCUAUGAAUUUGCAAAGUUGGCUAUAUAUAAAGAAAUAGACCAUUAUUUGAGGUGAUACAGAAAGUAUUAGUAAAAAUGUUCAAAAACUAAGUUUUGAACUUAUAGACAUCUAGGAUUUUGAAUCAUGGAAUUUGGAUCAAAAAUGGGCUCUCUGUGAUUUUCUAAAGUUUAUCACAAAAAUAGGAAAAAUAGGAUGUGAUAAAUAUUUGUGAAGGAAAUGCUUUUGUAAAAAUGUGACAAUAGCACCAUGUGGUAGGGAAUGAUUUUAGAAACUACUAUAAACUUGAAUCAUCAAAUUUGGAGUUAAUUUGAAUUAUUUAUGGAUUUUAGAAACUCACUGGAAAAUAAUAAAAAGAAAUAUAAGGCAUUACCCUUAUCCUGCGCCCCGGCGAGAGAUAGCCGUGGGCCGGCCCAGCGGCUCGGCCACGCAGACGACAGGCGAUGUCGAAGGCGUAUUUCGCCCGGCCCGUCUCCACUUGCCAGCGUGGCCCGGUGGCUGGGCCACUGACGAGCGGGGCCCGCCUGCAGGUCAUCGUCUUCGUCUUCCUCCCGCGCGCUCACCUGGCCGAGGGAGCAGAGAGCCCCAACGACGACUGCCGGCGCUACGGAGCACCUCCGGUGACGCUCUGUCUAUGGAUGAGCUCGGCAUCGAGCGCCGCAUCCAUUCAUGUAUGCCACGGCUGCCGGGGAUGGUCAAGGCGACGGCGGCUUGGAUGUCGGUGGACGGUGGCGUCGCGCGAGAUUGGGCACGGCGCUACGGUGCGUCCUCGGAUGAGGGAAAGAGCGUGGGAGCUCCGCCUUGCUCAGGGGAGCCUGCUGGUGGAGAGAGGAGAGGGAGAAGAGCUCGGGCUCGGCUGAAUUUAGGUGGAGGCCGGCGGCGGCUCUCCGGCCAUGGAGGGCUAUGGAGGGCGCGGGGAGAGGAGUGAGUUGGUCCAGGGGGUCUCUGGGAGGUAGAGAGAGGCAAAGGAGUAGAGAGGAGGCUCGGGGUGGCCUUAAAUAGAAGGGGGCGAGGUGCACAGCGGGGCCGUGCGCCGGCGAGGUCGUAGCCAUCGGUGGAGGCCACGGGAGUGCUUGGCUUCGAGUCGGGGUCUUCCUGGGCGUGGUCUACGACCAGGGGAAGGGAGAGAAGGAGCGGGGGAGCGUCAGGGCAGCGCGCGUGUGAGCAUGCCCAUUGGAGCUCUCGGGCGGCUAUGGUGCGCGUGCGAGCAGGGGCAGGAGAGAGAGAGGAAGAAGAGGGCCGACAGCGUGCCGUGUCCCAGAUGCCGAGGCGGCCUUGUGAGACACGCUGGGGAGGCCCGAGGUGGCCGGAGGCGGUUGGCAGGGGAGCGCACUGUAGCGCGCUCCAGAGCGCCCAUAUGGCUGUCCAGGCCAUUUUAUAUGCUUGUGGGCGCGCCCUUGCAUGUCCAGUAGCAUUUGGGGGGUGCUAAGGAAGGGAUCUUGGCCUUGGAUGCUUUGGGUGGCCAGUGGGUGAAGAGAGAGGAAGGAGAAGAGUGGAAAUGGGGCUGUCCAGAAUAGAAAAUUGGUGGUUCCAUCCCCUUGAUCAAUAAGCAUUGACUUGAGAUGAAUGCCAGAGGUAGAGGGAGGUUAGGAGGAGGUGUGGUAAAAAGGAUAACUAAUGGAGAUUAGUGGAAUUGGACAAAACAUACAUUUUUAAUUUCUGCCAGAAGGUGUUUGAUGGUGGUUUGGGAAAGAAGAUGAACUCCUAUUGUCAUGAGGCUUGACAGCGUCAUAUGGUAUGAUAAAAUAAUAGGUUCCACCAAUAUUGAUUCCAUUUGGGCAAAGUUGCCAAUGCAACUUUUGUAAACCCUAGAAAUCAGCAGAAAUGGACUUUCCAAGAUUUAGUCAUGCAAAUUUGUUCUCCUUGAUUCACCACUUGGUUUAGUGUCAUCAUUUGAGGUUAUGAACAUGUCCACAAAGGUUGAUAUAAAAAGGAGAAAGUUUCCAAUGUAGAGUUGUUACAAUUUGGUUCUGGACAGGAAGGGUUUUGGGGCACUUUGAUCAAUAUAACGUUUUCUCUGACUUGUGCCAUUUGGUCUAGAUGAAUGAUUAGACCAUUUGAGCAUGUUCACAAGGUUUGAGAACAUUUGGACAUCUUUGGCAAUGUAAAGUUGCUCAAACUUCAAAAUGGACAGAAAUGGUUUUGAGGGGAUUUCAUGGGGUUAUACUAUUCUCCAUGACAUUAUACUUGUCAAGAUCAUCAAACAUGUCAUAUGUGACAUGAUAGAAUUUUCUUGGAUUUUUAUGAAAAUAUUUCCUGUAGAAAUAUUUCAAAUCCUUGAAAUGAGCAAAAGUGGUUUUGGGAGGUUUUGUCCAAUAUUUUGAUCAUGACCAUGUGCUGAAACUCAUAUAUAUGGAAAAUAUAUGUCCAUUGAGUCUCCCUAAUUUUUCUCAAAUAUUUUUAAAGCUAUAAAAAUUAAUUUUAACCUAUUAAAGACCAUUUCUGGCCUUAAGGAAAAGCCUCCAAAUAAAAUAGAAAAAUAAUUUUUAAAGUUAUAUUUUUGUGGUCUCUAGGUAUCCUAUAUCUAAUAGGAGUCAAAAAUAUUUUUAGAAAGAUUUUUACUGCCCUUAAUUAAGUACUUGCAGUGCAAACCUCAAUUCAGGGGUUUUUGGAAAACUAAUUUUUGAAAAUACUAUUUGGCCAAAUUAUUUUUGUAAGAAAUUAUUUUUAUGUCCUAUACACAUGGCAUGAUCAUUGGUUCAAGAGUUUGGAGCAAGGAGAUGAAGUAUAAGAGUUGGAGGAUUUAUUUGAUUUUUAGAGCACUUGCAAACAACAGACAAAAUCCAAUCAAGGCAAAGUCCAAAACACACAAAAGUUUUUGUCAAACCACAUUUUAUCAUGAUUCAUUAGCUUAAGUGUUCUGACAUGAAAAUCAGGAUGUGACACUUACUCAUACAAUAUUCACACCAUGUAAUUCUGGAAAUAUAUGCUCAUAUCUAGUUCUGCAUAAAAAAUGACAGUAUUGACAUGUUAUACAUAGUUUGUUUGUCUUUCUGUUUAUUUUGUUACAUUUUGCAGGGAUAAAGUGAAGAAAAAGAAUAAAAGAUUACUAGAAGAUUAGUUUUAGGAUUUUAUUUUAUUUCCUUGCAAUUUUCCUUUUAUUGGAUACUUGUAAAGACAUUGUAAUAUUCUUACUAUAAUAAAAAUUAUGAUUCUAUUUCAUUUUUUGUUUUAAAAUUAUUUUUCCUUAUAGGUUGUUUUCUGUAAAUUUGGAUUUUUUUUGUUUUCCAAAUGCAUUACUAGUGGCGCAUUUAAGCCCUUACUAGUGGCGCA
This 14281-nucleotide long non-coding RNA is filed under the name Triticum aestivum (bread wheat). RNAcentral describes it as "long non-coding RNA (TAES_LNC007538)". The record is from RNAcentral. Lineage: Eukaryota; Viridiplantae; Streptophyta; Magnoliopsida; Poales; Poaceae.